RNAcentral lists this long non-coding RNA (244 nucleotides) under Setaria italica (foxtail millet). Its description in RNAcentral is "long non-coding RNA (SITA_LNC001328)". Lineage: Eukaryota; Viridiplantae; Streptophyta; Magnoliopsida; Poales; Poaceae. The record is from RNAcentral.
UUGUGCCAUCGCAUCAACUUAGCAUUCACCUUGUUCCUGAACAAGCGCUUCAAGCAUGGUAUUAUAGGGAAAUACACAUCACCUUCGAGGGAACUUUCUUCUUGGGAGGCUAUCCCUCGACAUCACUAGGAUCAUCUCGCCUGAUCUUAUACUGCAGCGCUUCGCACACAGGACAAGCAUCCAUUUUCUCGUAUUCAUCACCAUGAUAGAGGAUACAGUCAUUAGGGCAUGUGUGUAUCUUCUG